This 67-nucleotide transfer RNA is filed under the name Suwallia bimaculata. Its description in RNAcentral is "tRNA-Tyr". The record is from RNAcentral. Lineage: Eukaryota; Metazoa; Arthropoda; Insecta; Plecoptera; Chloroperlidae.
GUUAGAAUGGCUGAGCACAAUAGGCAGUAGAUUGUAAAUCUAUGUACGAGGGCGUCCUCUUCUAUCA